AGCAGUCGCCGCGGUAAUACGGAGGGUGCGAGCGUUAAUCGGAAUUACUGGGCGUAAAGCGUACGCAGGCGGUUUGUUAAGUCAGAUGUGAAAUCCCCGAGCUUAACUCGGGAACUGCAUUUGAAACUGGCAGGCUAGAGUCUCGUAGAGGGGGGUAGAAUUCCAGGUGUAGCGGUGAAAUGCGUAGAGAUCUGGAGGAAUACCGGUGGCGAAGGCGGCCCCCUGGACAAAGACUGACGCUCAGGUGCGAAAGCGUGGGGAGCAAACAGGAUUAGAUACCCGCGUAGUCCCUGUCUCUUAUAC
This 303-nucleotide ribosomal RNA is filed under the name uncultured bacterium. RNAcentral describes it as "partial 16S ribosomal RNA". It matches the Rfam family "Bacterial small subunit ribosomal RNA", at positions 507 to 807 of the family's 1533-position model. The record is from RNAcentral.